Molecule: ribosomal RNA, 203 nt
Filed under: uncultured Pseudomonas sp.
Lineage: Bacteria; Pseudomonadati; Pseudomonadota; Gammaproteobacteria; Pseudomonadales; Pseudomonadaceae
Description: partial 16S ribosomal RNA
Rfam family: Bacterial small subunit ribosomal RNA
Source: RNAcentral
CGAAAGGAACGCUAAUGCCGCAUACGUNCCUACGGGAGAAAGCAGGGGACCUUCGGGCCUUGCGCUAUCAGAUGAGCCUAGGUCGGAUUAGCUAGUUGGUGAGGUAAUGGCUCACCAAGGCGACGAUCCGUAACUGGUCUGAGAGGAUGAUCAGUCACACUGGAACUGAGACACGGUCCAGACUCCUACGGGAGGCAGCAGUC